RNAcentral lists this unclassified non-coding RNA (352 nucleotides) under soil metagenome. RNAcentral describes it as "partial contains 5.8S ribosomal RNA, internal transcribed spacer 2, and large subunit ribosomal RNA". The stretch from base 1 to 120 matches the Rfam family "5.8S ribosomal RNA", at positions 35 to 154 of the family's 154-position model. The record is from RNAcentral.
GAUGAAGAACGUAGCGAAAUGCGAUAAGUAAUGUGAAUUGCAGAAUUCAGUGAAUCAUCGAAUCUUUGAACGCACAUUGCGCCCGCCAGUAUUCUGGCGGGCAAGCCUGUUCGAGCGUCAUUACAACCCUCAGGCCCCCGGGCCUGGCGUUGGGGAUCGGCGGAGCCCCCCGUGGGCACACGCCGUCCCCCAAAUACAGUGGCGGUCCCGCCGCAGCUUCCAUCGCGUAGUAGCUAACACCUCGCGACUGGAGAGCGGCGCGGCCACGCCGUAAAACACCCAACUCUUCUGAAGUUGACCUCGAAUCAGGUAGGAAUACCCGCUGAACUUAAGCAUAUCAAUAAGCGGAGGA